AGCUGUAAAGCUCAGGAGGGAUAGCGCCAUGACUCAACAACAUUUGUAUGUUUGCAUAUACAUAUAUAUGUAUUGUUGUUGGCGCUAUCCAUCCUGAGUUCCAUAGCU
RNAcentral lists this microRNA precursor (108 nucleotides) under Camelina sativa (false flax). RNAcentral's name for it is "miR390b stem-loop (cas-MIR390b)". Its record names the gene cas-MIR390b. It matches the Rfam family "MIR390 microRNA precursor family", at positions 10 to 114 of the family's 121-position model. The record is from miRBase by way of RNAcentral. Lineage: Eukaryota; Viridiplantae; Streptophyta; Magnoliopsida; Brassicales; Brassicaceae.